GGAGGGGUGCUCGAGUGGUUUAAGAGACCAGUCUUGAAAACUGGCGAGCCCGCAAGGGUUCCGUGAGUUCGAAUCUCACCCCCUCCG
This 87-nucleotide transfer RNA is filed under the name Deltaproteobacteria bacterium. Its description in RNAcentral is "tRNA-Ser". It matches the Rfam family "tRNA". Rfam says of the family: Transfer RNA (tRNA) molecules are approximately 80 nucleotides in length. Their secondary structure includes four short double-helical elements and three loops (D, anti-codon, and T loops). Further hydrogen bonds mediate the characteristic L-shaped molecular structure. tRNAs have two regions of fundamental functional importance: the anti-codon, which is responsible for specific mRNA codon recognition, and the 3' end, to which the tRNAs corresponding amino acid is attached (by aminoacyl-tRNA synthetases). tRNAs cope with the degeneracy of the genetic code in two manners: having more than one tRNA (with a specific anti-codon) for a particular amino acid; and 'wobble' base-pairing, i.e. permitting non-standard base-pairing at the 3rd anti-codon position. The record is from RNAcentral. Lineage: Bacteria; Pseudomonadati; Myxococcota; Myxococcia.